UAUUAUGCAUAGAGACCUUAAGCCGAGAAACAUUUUCCUUCAUGGACCUGAGUGUCAUGUGAAGAUCGGGGACUUUGGAUUGGCUUGCCAAAACUUAAUAAUGGAUGAACAUGAGCAGCUGCCCUCCAGCUCUCAAGCAGGUGUAAACACAGACUCAGCUCACACUAGUGGAGUAGGAACUUUUGUUUACGCUGCCCCAGAACAACUUGAGGGUUCUCACUAUGAUUCAAAGUCAGAUCUGUACAGUAUAGGAGUGAUUGCAUUUGAGUUAUUCCAGCCAUUUGGGACCGAGAUGGAGCGUGUGCAC
Long non-coding RNA from Sinocyclocheilus anshuiensis, 307 nucleotides. RefSeq lists it as uncharacterized. The record is from RefSeq and is a predicted model, not a curated record. The transcript is spliced from 4 exons. NCBI's taxonomy places the organism in Eukaryota, Metazoa, Chordata, Actinopteri, Cypriniformes, Cyprinidae.